Oenanthe melanoleuca is the source of this 3715-nucleotide long non-coding RNA. RefSeq lists it as uncharacterized. The transcript is spliced from 5 exons. The record is from RefSeq and is a predicted model, not a curated record. Lineage: Eukaryota; Metazoa; Chordata; Aves; Passeriformes; Muscicapidae.
UGGCUGGCUCCAGUAAAGCUUCCUUUACGAUUACCAUGGCAGGAUAUUUGUGGGAAUACUCGUGUGUUGGAUCAGUGGUGAUGUGUGCAUGCCUGAAAGAGUCGGUGUGUUUUAAAACAUGCAAUGCCCAUUUUAUUCUUAGUGGUGAUGAAAAUAUGAGCUGCAGAAAUGGUAACAAAUGGGAAAUAGUACGGGAAAAAGGCAAUUUGCAAACAGCUUUGAUACUGCACUAAAGAGGAAUGAAGAAUAACAGCUUGAGGACCCCAGUGAGAGCGGGGGCUUGUAGCACACACUGUUCUCAUGGGUAUCGAGCUCUGACUCCCUCCUGUUGCAGCAAAGACAAACCAGCAGCAUGAUCACAGCCUUUGGGGACAGCUCUGCUCAAGCCAGAGGGCCACCAGUCUUGGCAGGAGCACAAGCCAGUUACACAGUGCUGUAGCUCUGCCAUGGAUGCAACAAAUCCCAGGGAAGGAGGGGAGAGGCAGAAGAACAGGUGGAACUCCAAGACAGUGAAAUGAGAGUGCCACAGGGAACUGCAGCGCGUAUGACUGCCAGAAGCCAAGUCUGUAGCACUGCUUGGAAAGCAGAAGACCAGUGUGAGGUGUCUGAAUUACUUGGAGAUACUAAUCUACUUUCAGAUGCUAUAUUUCUUGGGCACUCAUCUCUUCUACGAGGGAAACUUGCUGCAAGCAACCUGUUGGAUAUAUUCAGUAAUGAUGGCACUUCCAGGAAAUUGCCAUGUCCUGCAUCAAAGGAUGGAGUGCAGUAUGUGGGCCUCUCCUUUAUUUUGAGAAAGGUGCAGCAUGUCAAAAGUGGGCAGCUCUGCUACAGAGCAUCCCUCUCACUGGAGUACAGCACAGCUGAGUCCUUUGUGCUUGUUUGAUAGAAAUCAUGGAUGGUCUCAGACUAAAUGAGACUGUGAGUGGCAGUGCAACAGCAAGAGAAGGAAUGUUAAUGACCAGAACAUGUGGGGACUCAGGGAGAAACACAGAUUUCAACUUCUAUUCCUUGUCAUACAGCUGUGUGGUUCUCCUUGUACCAUGCUCCAUUAUAUACAGAAUCUUAAUGAUCACUGAAGUUUGAAUGACCAAAAAGUAGUUAUAUUUUAUUUUCAAAUACAUUUAACUCAAAGGACAAACCCAACAGCUUCUGAAUUCUAGUGACAGCAUUACAAGAAGGUCCUGUGUGAACAGUGAUGUGGGCAGGAAGGUGUGACUAAAGACUUAAAGUCUGAGGGUUUUGUUCUCCAAAAGCAAAACAAAGGACUGUACACUCAAAGUACAAGGAAGUCAGUGAAGCUGAAACCACGGGGGAUGAAGUGUCCACUCUUACAGCACUUUCAGAUUUAGAGGACAGAGCAAUUUAGUAAGCCCCAGAGAGGAGAAGAUGGAAUCAUAGACGAAUUCUUGCAGAUUACGAAUCAUGCCUGACUGACUGCAGGAGCAAGAGAAGUAAAACACACGGCCCCAAAACACUGUCAAAGCUGACAUACUUUUGAGAAGUGACAUAAAAUCCCACAGAAAGAGGCAAGGGUAUGUGGCUUGGGGGCAUCAACUGUUCUUUCAGAAUAUUGGAAAUGUGGAGAAAAGUCUAGAGACCUCAAUUAACUUACUGAAGCAUUUGAUAACUUUUAUUCUGGGGGAGGAUACAUGCAUCUCAUUUUCUGUUGCUAGAACAUUCAUUAGUCAUUUGUCAGUUUAAAAAGCAAAUUAUGCAGAAGUAGUCCAAGCAUUUUUUCCUCUCCCUUAGCUUGUGUGCUGGGUAAAGAAUCCUGGAGUGAAAAUGAGACUGUCAUAAAUUCUGAUUUAACAAAACAUAGGAGUCUUCAUCAAAGAGUGUGAGAUUGAAGAGAAUCUUUUAUUUGUUUCCAAUAGAGAAUCUCACUGGGGUAGUUGUCUCCUCAGUCACUACAUCUUAUACUGUAACAACAGGAAUUACUUUCCAGGCUGCAACACCAUGGCAGAUUUUGACCAGAAUUUGGAGAGAGACAAAUAAUUUGACUGAUCACGUUCCCAAUAAAAUCUUCCAUAUAAUUUCUAUUACUUCAGAAAAAGUAAAAUCACUCUUAAGGCAUCUCUAGUAGCAUUUAAAGAAUUUAUUUCACACCUAGUUCUAUACCAUUUAAUUCUGUUGAAUCCAGUGGGGCAAUAUAUGGUUUUCAGUCUUAAAAAUAAAAACAGAAUUAGGCCAAUUUGUCUUUUUAAAAUGAAUUAUUCAUUGCCUAAGCCUAGGGACUUACCAUAGUUGGGGCCCACACGCACUGCUGCUAAAGCCACAGCAGAGAGGCAGUGAUUAUGUGUUAGGCCUUUAGGUCCAUGGCAUCAGUAGAUUAUCAAUGUUUCCACCUCCAGUGCUGGCAGACAGACCUUCAUCUCUGGAAAGCACAGCUGCACUUAUCCACAUUAUUUUCAAAAUUGAUUUCAAAGGAUUCUGCAAAACAUAAUCUGAACUCACAUUUAAUAAGACACAAAAACAAAUUAAAGCAACUAUUGAAGAAGCGUAUCUGUCUCUGUAGUUAAAGCCUACUAAAUUAAAUUUUAAAGAAUUCGCUCAGACUGGAAAUCAUAUCACUGUGUGUGGGCACAGAAGAAGGCUCAGUAAAUUCUGGCUCAGUGGGUGAGUCAGCAUGAGUCAUCAGCAGACAUACCAUCCUAUGGUUAUAUGAAUCCACAAGGUACAUUUAGAAACAUGUCACAGUAACAAAAUAACGCCAUCCUCCUGCUUUUUGUCUAGAUGACAACAAUGACAGCCCCGACUUUCCUAAAAUAUUGUAGGAGUUCUCAGCUCAACAUGUGGGUUUAGGGAAAAAAAACCCCUCUGUUUUGCUAUUUUCAUUAAGCGAAGCUAACACAGAUAUGAUAAGCUGGUAGGAAAGCCUUAGGUUGUAAAUAAAAUCAUUUAGGUACUUGCAUUACACUGACAAACAACUGAGCAACAUCUGCUUAUCUGGUGGAUUUCUCAUCACUUGAUUGAAACACAAGGAGGUUUUUUUUGCUCUUCCAAUUUCAAUUGUUUCCAUUGCUCAGAAUUCCAAGUGGGUAAUAAGAUGCUAUGACAAAUGAAGUUAUGUAGCUGACAUCACCAUCUGUGUAAUAAGCAAAAUCGUGUCAAUUUUGUUCUGAAGGAGUUUUUAAUUGUGGCAUUUACUGAAAGACUCUGAAUGCAAACUAGAUGAGCACUGGUUAGGCUGAAACUAUUUCUGUUUUCUUCUCUUCUACUUUUCUUAAUUUCCAGGGAAAAGUUAAAUUGUAUACUCUAUAUUAAAUUUUCCUCUGAAACACAUUUCAUUUUCUUCCAGCCUGUCACUUCAUAUAGGACAUGUAAUUACCCAAAAUACCCCAACUUGUACAGCAAUACAGGAAAAGCACAUUUCACUCCUUCUCAUAUUAAUUUUUGGAGCUUUAAUAUAUAGAUUUCUUUAAUUUUGCUAAAGAUUAAGGAAAUUUCACCAGUCAUAUGUCUGCAUUUAGUGUGUAGUGAAUGGACUAGGAUUGCUCAUGGGUAUAUCUAUACACAGCUAUUUGCCUGACCACCUCACAGCCCAGUCUGGAAACCCAAUUCCCUGCCACGAUUAGUCAUCCACUUGGAUCCCACUUACUGCAGUGAUGCCACACAGAUGCAGCCAGAUUCACAUCAGCUAAUCUAGUUACAAAACAGAGGCCCUGGUUCUAUCAGAUAUGUUAAAAUCUGUGUAAAUAAAAAUGGCUUAACUUCU